RNAcentral lists this unclassified non-coding RNA (190 nucleotides) under uncultured Glomeraceae. Its description in RNAcentral is "sequence contains ITS2". The record is from RNAcentral. Lineage: Eukaryota; Fungi; Glomeromycota; Glomeromycetes; Glomerales; Glomeraceae.
UAAGUAAAAUCGUGGUGUCGCUCUGGUGACAUUUCGGAAUUGGGUUGUCUUAACCUUUCUGGUCAAGUGGCCUGAAAUUGACGUCUCUUUUGCGCAUCCCGGACGUGUAUAAUUCGUUUAUCCGUUUUCGAUGCCAAUCUUUUACUAGGUAUGGACACGUUUCGUGGUCUCGUACCCAUAGUCUUUCGUA